Molecule: long non-coding RNA, 333 nt
Filed under: Arabidopsis lyrata
Lineage: Eukaryota; Viridiplantae; Streptophyta; Magnoliopsida; Brassicales; Brassicaceae
Description: long non-coding RNA (ALYR_LNC003279)
Source: RNAcentral
GUGUAAGUGUACGUACAUUUGUCUUUCUUAUUUCCCGUGUACGUAUAAGUACUGAUUGUUUCAGACAUAACAAAAUAGAGGAUAUAGCCGAUGAAAUUGAUAACUACUGCCACAGGUUGAUGCGGGAGAUGUACCCAAUGUAGUUCCAGAGAGUAAAGUGGAUGACUCAGUACUUGAGGGCACCCCUAGUGAUCCCCCUUCACCAUUUGCAGUAGUUAAGAAUGUAAGCUAACUAUAUUUAUAAAUAAAAUAGUGUAGGCUUGUUUAAAUUUAUAAUCUUCUAUUAUGCAGGUGUUACAGGAGUUGGCAACGAAAGCCUCCAUGGAUGUGGAU